RNAcentral lists this ribosomal RNA (432 nucleotides) under Bacillus sp. R-24666. RNAcentral's name for it is "bacterial SSU rRNA". It matches the Rfam family "Bacterial small subunit ribosomal RNA", at positions 13 to 433 of the family's 1533-position model. The record is from RNAcentral. Lineage: Bacteria; Bacillati; Bacillota; Bacilli; Caryophanales; Bacillaceae.
UUGAUCCCUGGCUCAGGACGAACGCUGGCGGCGUGCCUAAUACAUGCAAGUCGAGCGGACAGAUGGGAGCUUGCUCCCUGAUGUUAGCGGCGGACGGGUGAGUAACACGUGGGUAACCUGCCUGUAAGACUGGGAUAACUCCGGGAAACCGGGGCUAAUACCGGAUGCUUGAUUGAACCGCAUGGUUCAAUUAUAAAAGGUGGCUUUUAGCUACCACUUACAGAUGGACCCGCGGCGCAUUAGCUAGUUGGUGAGGUAACGGCUCACCAAGGCAACGAUGCGUAGCCGACCUGAGAGGGUGAUCGGCCACACUGGGACUGAGACACGGCCCAGACUCCUACGGGAGGCAGCAGUAGGGAAUCUUCCGCAAUGGACGAAAGUCUGACGGAGCAACGCCGCGUGAGUGAUGAAGGUUUUCGGAUCGUAAAACUC